CUCCACUGAUGACCACCUAUUUGGGCCGUUGUGUCUGGGCCACUGAGUUUUGUUGAUGGAACUGAGGUUCUGAGGAG
Small nucleolar RNA from Monodelphis domestica (gray short-tailed opossum), 77 nucleotides. NCBI's taxonomy places the organism in Eukaryota, Metazoa, Chordata, Mammalia, Didelphimorphia, Didelphidae. The record is from Ensembl.